UGGGGAAUAUUGGACAAUGGGCGCAAGCCUGAUCCAGCAAUGCCGCGUGAGUGAUGAAGGCCUUAGGGUUGUAAAGCUCUUUCGCACGCGACGAUGAUGACGGUAGCGUGAGAAGAAGCCCCGGCUAACUUCGUGCCAGCAGCCGCGGUAAUACGAAGGGGGCUAGCGUUGUUCGGAAUUACUGGGCGUAAAGGGCGCGUAGGCGGCCUGUUUAGUCAGAAGUGAGAGCCCCGGGCUCAACCUGGGAAUAGCUUUUGAUACUGGCAGGCUUGAGUUCCGGAGAGGAUGGUGGAAUUCCCAGUGUAGAGGUGAAAUUCGUAGAUAUUGGGAAGAACACCGGUGGCGAAGGCGGCCAUCUGGACGGACACUGACGCUGAGGCGCGAAAGCGUGGGGAGCAAACAGGAUUAGAUACCCUGGUAGUCCACGCCCGUAAAACGAUGAAUGCUAGACGUCGGGGUGCAAUGCAGCUUCGGUGUCGCCGCUAACGCAUUAAGCAUUCCGCCUGGGGAGUACGGCCGCAAGGUUAAAACUUAAAUGAAUUGACGGGGUC
RNAcentral lists this ribosomal RNA (551 nucleotides) under uncultured bacterium. RNAcentral describes it as "partial 16S ribosomal RNA". It matches the Rfam family "Bacterial small subunit ribosomal RNA", at positions 355 to 920 of the family's 1533-position model. The record is from RNAcentral.